UUUGGCGUUGGCCUUGCGCGCCAUGAUGCCGUUGCCGACCGCGUGCAGCAGGUGAGUUUUACCCAGGCCGGUACCGCCAUA
This is a non-coding RNA of Serratia marcescens subsp. marcescens Db11, 81 nucleotides long. Lineage: Bacteria; Pseudomonadati; Pseudomonadota; Gammaproteobacteria; Enterobacterales; Yersiniaceae. The record is from Rfam.